UCAGAUCACGUUGAAACAUCAUUUCCCGUACGAUCACCGAAGUUAAGCAACGUCGAGCGUGGUAAAUACCGGAAAUGGGUGACCGCUUGAGAAUAGGAGGGGCUGUAA
Acanthosepion pharaonis is the source of this 108-nucleotide non-coding RNA. NCBI's taxonomy places the organism in Eukaryota, Metazoa, Mollusca, Cephalopoda, Sepiida, Sepiidae. The record is from the annotation of a GenBank genome assembly.